Molecule: ribosomal RNA, 36 nt
Filed under: Mattirolomyces terfezioides
Lineage: Eukaryota; Fungi; Ascomycota; Pezizomycetes; Pezizales; Pezizaceae
Also listed under: 1 other name
Description: partial 28S ribosomal RNA
Source: RNAcentral
GACCUCAAAUCAGGUAGGGAUACCCGCUGAACUUAA